CAGUCGCCACGGGAAUACGUAGGGUGCAAGCGUUAAUCGGAAUUACUGGGCGUAAAGCGUGCGCAGGCGGUUAUAUAAGUCAGAUGUGAAAUCCCCGGGCUCAACCUGGGAACUGCAUUUGGGACUGUACGGCUAGAGUGUGUCAGAGGGGGGUAGAAUUCCACGUGUAGCAGUGAAAUGCGUAGAUAUGUGGAGGAAUACCGAUGGCGAAGGCAGCCCCCUGGGAUAACACUGACGCUCAUGCACGAAAGCGUGGGGAGCAAACAGGAUUAGAUACCCGCGUAGUCCCUGUCUCUUAUAC
Molecule: ribosomal RNA, 301 nt
Filed under: uncultured bacterium
Lineage: Bacteria
Description: partial 16S ribosomal RNA
Rfam family: Bacterial small subunit ribosomal RNA
Source: RNAcentral